GUCCACGCUGUAAACGAUGAAGACUAGAUGUUGUAUGGGGAACCAUUCGGUAUCGAAGCUAACGCGAUAAGUCUUCCGCCUGGGAAGUACGGCCGCAAGGUUGAAACUCAAAGAAAUUGACGGGGGCCCCGCACAAGCGGUGGAGCAUGUGGUUUAAUUCGAUGCAACGCGAAGAACCUUACCUACUUUUGACAUCCUGCGAAUCUGGUUGAGAGACUGGAGUGCCGAAAGGAGCGCAGAGACAGGUGCUGCAUGGCUGUCGU
RNAcentral lists this ribosomal RNA (263 nucleotides) under uncultured bacterium. RNAcentral's name for it is "partial 16S ribosomal RNA". It matches the Rfam family "Bacterial small subunit ribosomal RNA", at positions 793 to 1055 of the family's 1533-position model. The record is from RNAcentral.